GUAUUUAGAAUUAUUUAUUCAAAAUAUCUUCAGACAAAAAAGUUUCAAUAAAGGGUUGGUAUUAUGCUGACGCGACGCGUGAACGACGAUGUCAGCAAACAUUGCACACAAGGUGAAUACUGAUUUUUAAAAAGUGCAGUAAAACACUUAUUAUGAAUGAUCCUUCCGCAGGUUCACCUACGGAAA
Molecule: unclassified non-coding RNA, 186 nt
Filed under: uncultured fungus
Lineage: Eukaryota; Fungi
Description: sequence contains ITS1
Source: RNAcentral